Leptonychotes weddellii (Weddell seal) is the source of this 1539-nucleotide non-coding RNA. The record is from RefSeq and is a predicted model, not a curated record. Lineage: Eukaryota; Metazoa; Chordata; Mammalia; Carnivora; Phocidae.
CCGGCCGCGCUCCCAGUCCGCCCGAAGCCCAUGCCCGGCGGCUGGCCCGUGCUGCGGCUGGAGGGGGGGCCCGGCUCUGCAUGGCCCCGGCUGCUGACAUGACUUCUUUGCCACUCGGUGUCAAAGUGGAGGACUCCGCCUUCGGCAAGCCGGCGGGGGGAGGCGGGGGCCAGGCCCCCAGCGCCACCGCGGCCACGGCGGCCGCCAUGGGCGCAGACGAGGAGGGGGCCAAGCCCAAAGUGUCCCCUUCACUCCUGCCCUUCAGCGUGGAGGCGCUCAUGGCCGACCACAGGAAGCCCGGGGCCAAGGAGAGCGCCCUGGUGGCCUCCGAGGGCGCACAGGCGGCGGGCGGCUCUGCGCCGCCCCUGGGCGCCCGGCCGGGGUCGCUGGGAGCCCCUGACGCGCCGUCUUCGCCGCGGCCGCUGGGCCAUUUCUCGGUGGGAGGACUUCUCAAGCUGCCAGAAGAUGCGCUGGUCAAAGCCGAGAGCCCCGAGAAGCCCGAGAGGACCCCGUGGAUGCAGAGCCCCCGCUUCUCCCCGCCCCCGGCCAGGCGGCUGAGCCCCCCGGCCUGCACCCUGCGCAAGCACAAGACCAACCGCAAGCCGAGGACGCCCUUCACCACCGCUCAGCUGCUGGCGCUGGAGCGCAAGUUCCGCCAGAAGCAGUACCUGUCCAUCGCCGAGCGCGCCGAGUUCUCCAGCUCGCUCAGCCUCACCGAGACGCAGGUGAAGAUCUGGUUCCAGAACCGCCGCGCCAAGGCCAAGAGACUGCAGGAGGCAGAGCUGGAAAAGCUGAAGAUGGCCGCCAAGCCCAUGCUGCCGCCGGCUGCCUUUGGCCUCUCCUUCCCGCUCGGCGGCCCCGCGGCGGUAGCGGCCGCGGCGGGCGCCUCGCUCUACGGGGCCUCUGGCCCCUUCCAGCGCGCCGCGCUGCCGGUGGCGCCCGUGGGACUCUACACAGCCCAUGUGGGCUACAGCAUGUACCACCUGACAUAGAGGGUCCCAGGGUCGCCUCCCUGUGGUACCAGCUGAUUCCUCCAGCCCCGGUCUCCUGCGAGCGGCAGAUGGAGAAACUUAGAGAGGUGUAGACUUCCCAGCGGUCCCCAGCAGAGUUAGUGGUCGGACCGGCACUAGGCGGCUGCGUCCUGUCCUGACAACCAGGCAGGAGACGCACAGAGAAACUCCCGUGUGAAGAUUUUGGAAAAUAAGAACAGUUGGAGAAAAAGAGAAGAGCAUGCCAGGGGAGAUGGAAACCCCCGUCCUUCCAUCGGAAAACUUCAGAGAACUUCAACUGCACAACGUCUGCUUUCGGUGGGGGGAAGGGGGGUGACACAGAUGCGUUGCCAAGGUAGGUUGAAGGGACCUCUCUCACCAGUACCAGAAAAAACUGUAAAAUAAAAUUUAAAACUCCUGUUUCUAUUUAACAGUACAUUUGUGUGACUCUCAAGAAUCCCUUUGGAAGGGAUUGUGUGUAAUAUACUGUAUAUUUGAAAUUUUAUUAUCAUUUAUAUUAUAGCUAUAUUUGUUAAAUAAAUUAAUUUUA